GAUGAACGCUGGCGGCGUGCCUAAUACAUGCAAGUCGAGCGAACGGACGAUAAGCGUGCUUUUCUGAUGUUAGCGGCGGACGGGUGAGUAACACGUGGAUAACCUACCUAUAAGACUGGGAUAACUUCGGGAAGCCGGAGCUAAUACCGGAUAAUAUUUUGAACCGCAGGGAGCAAAAGUGAAUGGCGGUCUUGCUGUCACUUAUAGAUGGAUCCGCGCUGCAUUAGCUAGUUGGUAAGGUAACGGCUUACCAAGGCAACGAUGCAUAGCCGACCUGAGAGGGUGAUCGGCCACACUGGAACUGAGACACGGUCCAGACUCCUACGGGAGGCAGCAGUAGGGAAUCUUCCGCAAUGGGCGAAAGCCUGACGGAGCAACGCCGCGUGAGUGAUGAAGGUCUUCGGAUCGUAAAGCUCUGUUAUUAGGGAAGAACAUAUGUGUAAGUAACUGUGCACAUCUUGACGGUACCUAAUCAGAAAGCAACGGCUAACUACGUG
Molecule: ribosomal RNA, 497 nt
Filed under: uncultured bacterium
Lineage: Bacteria
Description: partial 16S ribosomal RNA
Rfam family: Bacterial small subunit ribosomal RNA
Source: RNAcentral